RNAcentral lists this ribosomal RNA (492 nucleotides) under uncultured bacterium. RNAcentral describes it as "partial 16S ribosomal RNA". It matches the Rfam family "Bacterial small subunit ribosomal RNA", at positions 29 to 507 of the family's 1533-position model. The record is from RNAcentral.
AGUGAACGCUGGCGGUAGGCCUAACACAUGCAAGUCGAACGGCAGCACAGUAAGAGCUUGCUCUUACGGGUGGCGAGUGGCGGACGGGUGAGGAAUACAUCGGAAUCUACUUUUUCGUGGGGGAUAACGUAGGGAAACUUACGCUAAUACCGCAUACGACCUACGGGUGAAAGCAGGGGAUCUUCGGACCUUGCGCGAUUGAAUGAGCCGAUGUCGGAUUAGCUAGUUGGCGGGGUAAAGGCCCACCAAGGCGACGAUCCGUAGCUGGUCUGAGAGGAUGAUCAGCCACACUGGAACUGAGACACGGUCCAGAGUCCUACGAGAGGCAGCAGUGGGGAAUAUUGGACAAUGGGCGCAAGCCUGAUCCAGCCAUACCGCGUGGGUGAAGAAGGCCUUCGGGUUGUAAAGCCCUUUUGUUGGGAAAGAAAAGCAGCAGGUUAAUACCCCGCUGUUCUGACGGUACCCAAAGAAUAAGCACCGGCUAACUUCGUG